UACAUGGGGUGCAAACGUUGCUCGGAAUUAUUGGGCGUAAAGCGCGCGUAGGCGGUUAUCUAAGUUGGAUGUGAAAGCCCUUGGCUCAACUGAGGAAGUGCAUCCGAAACUGGCAGGCUAGAGUACUAAAGAGGAUCGCGGAAUUCCCGGUGUAGAGGUGAAAUUCGUAGAUAUCGGGAGGAACACCAGUGGCGAAGGCGGCGACCUGGGCCAAUACUGACGCUGAGGUGCGAAAGCGUGGGGAGCAAACAGG
This 253-nucleotide ribosomal RNA is filed under the name uncultured bacterium. RNAcentral describes it as "partial 16S ribosomal RNA". It matches the Rfam family "Bacterial small subunit ribosomal RNA", at positions 524 to 776 of the family's 1533-position model. The record is from RNAcentral.